This 1427-nucleotide ribosomal RNA is filed under the name metagenome. RNAcentral's name for it is "bacterial LSU rRNA". It matches the Rfam family "Bacterial large subunit ribosomal RNA", at positions 1516 to 2925 of the family's 2925-position model. The record is from RNAcentral.
GGAUGUAGGGCGAGAUGUAGGCAAAUCCGCAUCUCACGUGCCUGAGAUCUGACGCCGAGCCGAUUCAGGUGAAGUGGGUAAUCCUAUGCUGCCAAGAAAAGCCUCUAGCGAGUGUUAAAGCCGCCCGUACCCCAAACCGACACAGGUGGUCAGGUGGAGAAUACUAAGGCGAUCGAGAUAACUAUGGUUAAGGAACUCGGCAAAAUGCCCCCGUAACUUCGGGAGAAGGGGGGCCCGUUCUGGUGAGGAGAUUUACUCUCCGAGCUGGGAUUGGCCGCAGAGACCAGGCCCAAGCGACUGUUUACUAAAAACACAGGUCCAUGCUAAGUCGCAAGACGCUGUAUAUGGACUGACGCCUGCCCGGUGCUGGAACGUUAAGGGGACGGGUUAGCGACUUCGGUCGCGAAGCUCAGAACUUAAGCGCCAGUAGACGGCGGUGGUAACUAUAACCAUCCUAAGGUAGCGAAAUUCCUUGUCGGGUAAGUUCCGACCUGCACGAAUGGCGUAACGACUUGGGCGCUGUCUCAACCGUAGACUCGGCGAAAUUGCACUACGAGUAAAGAUGCUCGUUACGCGCGGCAGGACGAAAAGACCCCGGGACCUUUACUACAGCUUGGUAUUGGUGGUCGAUUCGAUAUGUGUAGGAUAGGUGGGAGACUGUGAACUUCGGACGCCAGUUCGAAGGGAGUCAUCGUUGAAAUACCACUCUGAUCGUAUUGGCUGUCUAACCUAGAUCCGUAAUCCGGAUCAGGGACAGUGCCUGGUGGGUAGUUUAACUGGGGCGGUUGCCUCCUAAAAUGUAACGGAGGCGCUCAAAGGUUCCCUCAGCCUGGUUGGCAAUCAGGUAUCGAGUGUAAGUGCACAAGGGAGCUUGACUGUGAGACUGACGGGUCGAGCAGGGACGAAAGUCGGAACUAGUGAUCCGGCGCUGGCAAGUGGAAGCGGCGUCGCUCAACGGAUAAAAGGUACCCCGGGGAUAACAGGCUGAUCUUGCCCAAGAGUCCAUAUCGACGGCAUGGUUUGGCACCUCGAUGUCGGCUCGUCGCAUCCUGGGGCUGGAGUAGGUCCCAAGGGUUGGGCUGUUCGCCCAUUAAAGCGGCACGCGAGCUGGGUUUAGAACGUCGUGAGACAGUUCGGUCCCUAUCCGCCGCGCGCGUAAGAGUCUUGAGAAGAUCUGUCCCUAGUACGAGAGGACCGGGAUGGACGAACCUCUGGUGUGUCAGUUGUCCUGCCAAGGGCACUGCUGAUUAGCUACGUUCGGAAGAGAUAACCGCUGAAAGCAUCUAAGCGGGAAACUCGCUUCAAGAUGAGGGCUCUCACAGGGUUAACCUGGUAAGGCCCCCAGUAGACCACUGGGUUGAUAGGCCGGAAGUGGAAGUGCGGUAACGCAUGCAGCUGACCGGUACUAAUAGGCCGAGGACUUGACC